This 423-nucleotide ribosomal RNA is filed under the name uncultured archaeon. RNAcentral's name for it is "bacterial SSU rRNA". It matches the Rfam family "Archaeal small subunit ribosomal RNA", at positions 325 to 747 of the family's 1478-position model. The record is from RNAcentral.
ACGGGGCGCAGCAGGCGCGAAACCUUUACACUGCACGCCAGUGCGAUAAGGGGAUCCCGAGUGCACAGGCAUAGAGCCUGUGCUUUUCUGAACCGUAGGGAGGUUCAGGAACAAGAGCUGGGCAAGACCGGUGCCAGCCGCCGCGGUAAUACCGGCAGCUCGAGUGAUGGCCGAUCUUAUUGGGCCUAAAGCGUCCGUAGCUGGCCUUGCAAGUCCGUCGGGAAAUCCACCCGCUCAACGGGUGGGCGUCCGGCGGAAACUGUGAGGCUUGGGACCGGGAGGCUUGAAGGGUACGUCCGGGGUAGGAGUGAAAUCCUGUAAUCCUGGACGGACCGCCGAUGGGGAAACCACUUCAAGAGAACGGAUCCGACAGUGAGGGACGAAAGCUAGGGUCUCGAACCGGAUUAGAUACCCCUGUAGUCC